GAUGAACGCUAGCGGCAGGCCUAACACAUGCAAGUCGAGGGAGAAGCCCUUUCGGGGGCAGAAACCGGCGCACGGGUGCGUAACGCGUAUGCAACCUACCUUUCACAGGGGGAUAGCCCGAAGAAAUUUGGAUUAAUACCCCAUAAUAUUAUUGGAUGGCAUCAUUUGAUAAUUAAAACUGCGGUGGUGAAAGAUGGGCAUGCGUCCUAUUAGCUAGUUGGAGUGGUAACGGCACCCCAAGGCUACGAUAGGUAGGGGUCCUGAGAGGGAGAUCCCCCACACUGGUACUGAGACAGGGACCAGACUCCUACGGGAGGCAGCAGUGAGGAAGAUUGAUCAAUGGUCGGAAGACUGAACCAGCCAUGCCGCGUGCAGGAAGAAUGCCUUAUGGGUUGUAAACUGCUUUUAUAUGGGAAGAAUAAGGUGUACGUGUACAUUGAUGACGGUACCAUAUGAAUAAGCAUCGGCUAACUCCGUG
This 478-nucleotide ribosomal RNA is filed under the name uncultured bacterium. RNAcentral describes it as "partial 16S ribosomal RNA". It matches the Rfam family "Bacterial small subunit ribosomal RNA", at positions 28 to 507 of the family's 1533-position model. The record is from RNAcentral.